This 5527-nucleotide long non-coding RNA is filed under the name Canis lupus familiaris (dog). RNAcentral's name for it is "lncRNA (ENSCAFG00000053745.1)". Lineage: Eukaryota; Metazoa; Chordata; Mammalia; Carnivora; Canidae. The record is from RNAcentral.
ACCCAGAGCCUCUACUCAUAGCUCUGCCCCCUGACAUCACAGAUUGUAUGUUAUUCAUCUCUGGAACCUCAACAGCAGUCUCUGACAUAUACUAAGUAAAUAAACAUAUGGUGAAUGAAUAAAUGAGUAAAUGACAUCAAUAAACUGAUCAUUGACUGGAGUGACCAAAAAAUAACAAUUCAAAAAGCCAACAUCAGAUGAAAAUGUUCAAAUCUAUUAAAAGUAAAAGCUUUAAUCUGUUGGCAAUAGCUUUUAUUAGAAUAAUAUACUUAUGGGAAAUUAAAUACCUAUAAGGUCUGCAUCCAAUUCAUUUUCUGUAUGAUAAUUCUUUUCCUUCUUACAGCUCGAGGGUUAUGGAAGAGCAAAACAUUUCUAGAUGUGUUAUAUUUACGGUUAGCGAUGACACAAUAAUAUAGCUCGACUAUCCUUAACACCCUUGACUUUACCAUUGAUUUCCUUCCUACAGUGUUAUAAAGAAAACAAAAAUUAUGAGCACAUGACCAUAGGUUAUUUUUAAAACAACCCAAAAUUCUUUGCCACUUUUAUCAGGAUAACUUGAUGAACAAACAUGCCCAACCCCAGACAUAGUUAAAUGAGCCAAAUGUUUAUAACAUGGUUUAAUGACUAUUCGUGCAUAACGUUAUUUUAAUGAUUUGUUUUUCCACCAAAGUAGAGUACAGAGUACGAAAGCCACGCCAAAAGGGCAUACUGACCCCUUCUAAUCUCUAAUGAAUCUGUUAUUAGCCUAAUAAGGAUCUGGUGCUGGACAUUUGGUGAUGGCAUAGUGUAAUUUUAGUACUAACCAUUUGGAUGUUCAUAGCAAAGGGGCAGGAGAGAAUGGGCAAUUAUAACUUAAUAACAGAAAAAUGGAAGGCAGGCAAAAUGGCUUAGCAUAGUCAAAACCCCAUCAAUUUUGCAUUCAGCUGGGAUGCUGAGCUUUUUAUAUCAUAGAUUCUCAACCGAAUAUCCAUAACUCUAUGAUCAGAAUUCUCAGUGAAGAGAAAAUAUAAUUAACUACACGGAAAAUUGAGAGAAGACAUGAACAUUUAAUUUCCCUUCAUAAUCUAUCCAACACACCACCAACACUUAUUAACAAAACGAUUAUGUUUUCUUUGUCAAUGGAACAGAGAAAAAAAUUUGUAAGAGUAUCCGUUAUGAUAAUGACAUAUGACAAUACGUAAUCACAAAUAAAUUACACUCAUUAUACAAAUAUUCAUGGAAUGUCUAUCAGCCUUACUUUAUGCUUGCAUUAUUUUUACCAUAUAUUUUCCCAGAUGAUUAAGAAUUCCAGAAUCCUUCCUAUAUUACCCUAAAUUAUGAAAAAGAAUACACCAUGAUUUUAUCCACAAGGACAAACAUUAUAUUACAGCCCCGUAGGGGAGAUUAACAAGUCAGAAAUUACAAUUUGAAAUGAUAAAAUGCAAAGAGAUUCUUAGUGGGGACAUUGAAUCCUUUGGAGAUGAAGACAAACGAGCAACAGGAAGAAGAUCUGGAGAUCCUGACUGAGAAAUAGUAGCUAAACUAGGUUUAAAGGAUGAGUAUGAAUGAUCCAAUAAAAUGUGGAGGGAGAAGGGCAAAGGGAAAUGGGCUAGGAAAAAUAUUCCAGACAAAAUGAAUAGCAUCUGGAAGGUCUGGAAGAAAAAGAAAGCAUGAAACUAAGGAAAACAGGAAGAAGUUCAUUAUAAAGUUAACAUCAGGGGCUCACCAAAAUUAUUGGUGGCUCAGCUGGUUGAGCAUCUUCCUUCAGCUAAGGUCAUGAUCUCGGGGUCCAGGGAUCAAGCCCCACGUCCAUUGGGCUCCCUGCUCAGCAGGGAGUCUGCUUCUCCCUCUCCUUCUGACCCUCCCCCACUUAAUGUGCUUGCUCUUUCUCUCUCAAAGUCUUUUUUUUUAAAUAAACAUUGUAUAAUUAAUAGCAGAACUUGAAGAGAGAGUGAAGUCCAUGAGAUAAGUAGGGCCCCAAUCAUGAAAGGUCUUAUGAGCCAAGGCACAAGAAUUAACCCCAAGAACACAGCAAAGCUAGAGAAAGAUUAUAAACAGAGGUGCAAUAAGAUCACAUUACUCUUCUUGAAAUCUCACCCUGACUACCUAUUAAAGGUGAAAAUAUCAGAGAACAGAUUAUCCAGGAGACAAUGAGAAUAAAUUAGGGAAUUAUUAUAUGAUCUACUUAGGAUAUGUUGGUGACCCACUCUAGGACAGUGGCAAUAGGAAUGCAGAAAAAUAGGUGGAUUUGAGGAAUUUUAGAUGAUAGGAUAAACAGUAUUUAGUAAUUGGUUAGCUGUGUGAAUGAGGGAGAGGGAAGAUGAGGAUUUUGCAGCUGAGUGAAUGGUGGUACUAUUCUUUGGUUUAGGUUUAGAAAAGGAAAGGGAGAGGGAAGAAAGGGGAUAGGAGGAAAGAGGAAGAGUUAAUGCACUACUUCUUACAAGUUUUAACUUUUAGGUGCCUGUGAAAUACUUAAUUGUAGAUGCCCUGAAAUCACUUAAAUAUGACAUUCUGGGGCUAAAGAAAGAAGUCUGGUAUGGGGAUAUGAAUUUAGGAUCAAACCUAGGAUCAGGGAUUCUUAAUCUGAAUUUAUGAUGGGCUUCAAAAGGUUCCAGAAUCACCUAAAAGUGUAUGCAAAAUGUUAUGGGUUUAAUUUUCUCUUCCUUGUCGGGUUUCUUAAGGUGAAACUUACUGAUUAAAGUUCUAUUUUUUUCUAAUCCUAGGAUUUAUUGUUAUAAAUUUCCUCCUAAUCACUGUUUUAGCUGUAUUUCACAAAUUUUGAUAUAUCAUGUUUUCAUUGCCAUUCAAUUCAAAAAAAUUUCUGAUUUCCUUUGAGAUUUUCUCUUCAACCCAUGGAUUAUUUAGAAAUAUACUGUUUAAUUUCCAUAUGUUUUUACAUUUUUUAGAUGUUUUUUGUAAUUGAUUUCUAAUUUAGUUCUGUUGUGAUCAUACACUGUAUAGUUUGUCUUCUAUAAAUGUGAGGUAAGUCAAGUAGGUUGAUGGUAACGUUCAAGUCUUCUCCAUCCUUACUGAUUUCCUCUCUGCUUGUUCUACCAAUUAUUGGGAAGUGUUGAAAGCUCCACAUAUAGUUAUUGAAUUUGUCUAUUUCUGCUUUUAGUUCUGCCACUUUUUUUUGUUUAAUGUAUCUUAAAGCUGUUAUUAGGAACAUACAUGUUAGGUUUAUUUUACCUUCUAGAUGAAUUGACUCUUCAUAUUUAUCUCUGCUGGUAUUCCUUGCCCUGUAGGCUUCUUUAUGUAAUACUAAAAUAAGCAAUCCAUCUCUCUCUUGAUUAGUAUUUUCAGGGUAUAUCUUUUACUUCGAACUUAUCUAUCCUUAUACUUACGGUGCUUUUCUUCUAUAUAACAUACAUUUGGGUCUUAAUUUUUUUAAUCCACUUUGACAACCUUUUCCUUUUAAUGGAAUAUUUAUAGACAUUUUACAUUUAAUUUUAUUAUUGAUAUGGCUGGUUUGGGGUCUAUCAUCUUGCUAUUUGUUUAUUUUUCUUAAUUGUUUUCAUUUUUCUCUGUUAUUUUUUACCCUUUUUUGGUUUUGGUAGAAUAUUUUCUUGCAUUCCAUUUUAUCUCCAUCAACUGAUGUAUCUCUUUUUUUAGUAAUUGCUCUAGGGUUUAUAAUAUGCAUUUUAACUAAUCACAGUCUACCUUCAUAUCACUUCAAGUAUAGUAUGAGAACUUUAAACAAUAUAAUUCUACUUCUCCCCUUCAUCCAUGGAGCUGUUGUUAUUAUCUUACAGUUGCCAAGAUAUUACCUUUAUUCCUUAUAAAGGUGUUACUAAAGAAAGUGGACAAGUAAACUUCAUAAUACUGAACUUCAAAAUUGGAAAGACUUCUCCAUUCUAGAUACCUAUAUUGCCUGGGGACUUGCCUCUGUUAGAUUUAUGACAUGGAAAUGCAAAGAAGAUUCUCUCCGGGAAGCCCACUCACAAGAGGAAGGGAGAAGAGAAAGCACUGAACUUCUACUUCCCACCUCAUCAAUGAGAGGUAACUCUAACUCCCCCAUUGCAGAAUGAAUGAGGGGGCAAAGAGAAGCCAGGAGAGUUAUGCUAUCAGAAUGCUCUCCAGAAAAAAGAAACCUCGAUGUGAGAAAACCCUUAUCCCCUAUCAGCACCUCAUCUUUAUAAAUUUUGUCUGUUCUUUCCUGUCCCCACAUAUAUUUUUCGUAUACAUUCCCUUACUUAAGCAUGCAUUGCUCUAGUAAUUCUUGUAGCUUUUUGUUCUCAAAUUGCAUUCCAAAUAAAUCCAAUAAAAUGUUUGAAAGUUAGGAGGAAAGUCUCUCUGCACCAUCCACAGAACUUAGAAUUUCACAACUUGAGCCCUCGAACUCUAGUCACAUAGCCAACUAUGUGUUCACACACUGAACAGAUCAUGUGGAAUUCCCUUUACGAUCCAGGCAGCUACAGGCGCUGGUGAUACCAAUGGUGAGUAAGACAGAGGAGGCCCCACAGUCUGCAGCUCCCAUUCUUGUGAGUAUGGGACAGGGGAGUAGACAAGCAAACAAAUGCAUCCAGAAGACAAUUUCAGAUAGUAACAAGUGUCAUGAAGAAAAUAAAGCAGUAUGGCAAAAUUGAAAGUGAUUAGAUAGGGGACAACUGUUCAUGGACUCUGCUUCUUUCCAUCUUUGACUCUCUAGGAAAAAUAAAUCAAGAUGGUGAAGAGACUAAAAUAAAAUAAAAUAAAAUAAAAUAGGGUCUUGAUUUUAGGGGGGAAGAUAAUCAGUAUAUCAGUUUUCAGUUUUUAUAUUCUAAUCUUCACUUAAAUUCAACAGCCUGUUUAUAUCCUCUCAUAUAUCUCUCUUAAAUAGCAACUACCUUUGGCCAAAUACAUAAGCCAGCAAGCUGAGAAUAGAAGCAUCAACACAGUCUUUAUUCUACCAAUCAUAGCUAAAAAUAAGCCAGAAUUGAGGUACCUGGGUGGCUCAGUCGUUUAAGGGCUGCACUCCUGGUUUGGGCUCAGGUCAUGAUCUUGGAGUCAUGAGAUCAGUCUCAGCUCUGCACUCAGCAUGGAGUCUGCUUUAAAUUCUCUCUCUCCUUCUCCCUCUGCCCCUCCUCCAGCUCUCCCCCCCCCCCAAAUAAGUAAAUAAAAUCUUUAAAAAAAAAAAAAACAGGAAUAAUUGUUACUUCAAUUAUUCCCUGAGUGCCAGCAUGCCACUGAUUAUUGGGAAAUAAUGACCAAGGAAAGGUUUAGAUUAGCAAGGAGUAAGAAAGCUUUUGACACACGAAUGUGCAAGUGUUAAUUAAACUGUAUCGCCCUGUGUAACACCAGUGGGAAAGGUAACAUUUGUGUCAACUGUGUGAAAGGUUCUUUCAAGUAUUAGCUUCAUUUUCAGAUAUCAAAGUCUUGGCAUUAACCCAAAUGUCAAAAGGAGUGUUUUGAUCGUGGCAUGCAGAUUUGUACUUCUCCACCCCCAAUCCCAGAUUGUUGUAAUAAAGACGGUAAAGUCAGAAAGUGGGGAAUGAUUUGCUGGCAAGAAAAGCCAAAAGAAAACAGGCUUCCAAGUAAAACAAAGCAUGCAAUGGCUAUGAAGCAACAU